RNAcentral lists this transfer RNA (75 nucleotides) under Plantactinospora alkalitolerans. RNAcentral's name for it is "Plantactinospora sp. S1510 tRNA-Val". It matches the Rfam family "tRNA". Rfam says of the family: Transfer RNA (tRNA) molecules are approximately 80 nucleotides in length. Their secondary structure includes four short double-helical elements and three loops (D, anti-codon, and T loops). The record is from RNAcentral. Lineage: Bacteria; Bacillati; Actinomycetota; Actinomycetes; Micromonosporales; Micromonosporaceae.
GCCCGUAUAGCUCAGCUGGCAGAGCGCCGCUUUCACACGGCGGAGGUUUCGAGGGUUCAAGUCCCUCUGCGGGUA